ACGGGUAGCCGGCCUGAGAGGGCGACCGGCCACACUGGGACUGAGACACGGCCCAGACUCCUACGGGAGGCAGCAGUGGGGAAUAUUGCGCAAUGGGCGAAAGCCUGACGCAGCGACGCCGCGUGAGGGAUGAAGGCCUUCGGGUUGUAAACCUCUUUCAGCAGGGACGAAGCGAAAGUGACUGUACCUGCAGAAGAAGCACCGGCUAACUACGUGCCAGCAGCCGCGGUAAUACGUAGGGUGCAAGCGUUGUCCGGAAUUAUUGGGCGUAAAGAGCUCGUAGGCGGUUUGUCGCGUCGGAUGUGAAAACUUGGGGCUCAACCCCGAGCCUGCAUUCGAUACGGGCAAACUAGAGUUCGGUAGGGGA
Molecule: ribosomal RNA, 367 nt
Filed under: uncultured Actinomycetes bacterium
Lineage: Bacteria; Bacillati; Actinomycetota; Actinomycetes
Description: bacterial SSU rRNA
Rfam family: Bacterial small subunit ribosomal RNA
Source: RNAcentral